GGGUAGGUGUCCGAGCGGUUGAAGGAGCACGCCUGGAACGCGUGUAGGUGUAACAGCCUCGUGGGUUCAAAUCCCACCCUAUCCGCCA
RNAcentral lists this transfer RNA (88 nucleotides) under Campylobacter sp. 19-13652. Its description in RNAcentral is "tRNA-Ser". It matches the Rfam family "tRNA". Rfam says of the family: Transfer RNA (tRNA) molecules are approximately 80 nucleotides in length. Their secondary structure includes four short double-helical elements and three loops (D, anti-codon, and T loops). The record is from RNAcentral. Lineage: Bacteria; Pseudomonadati; Campylobacterota; Epsilonproteobacteria; Campylobacterales; Campylobacteraceae.